GACGGAGGGAGCUAGCGUUGUUCGGAAUGACUGGGCGUAAAGGGCGCGUAGGCGGUUUUUUAAGUGAGGCGUGAAAGCCCUGGGCUUAACCCAGGAGGUGCGUUUCAGACUGGAAGACUUGAGGACGAGAGAGGAAAGUGGAAUUCCUAGUGUAGAGGUGAAAUUCGUAGAUAUUAGGAAGAACACCAGUGGCGAAGGCGAACUUUCUGGCUCGUAACUGACGCUGAGGCGCGAAAGCGUGGGGAGCAAACAGG
RNAcentral lists this ribosomal RNA (254 nucleotides) under uncultured bacterium. RNAcentral describes it as "partial 16S ribosomal RNA". It matches the Rfam family "Bacterial small subunit ribosomal RNA", at positions 524 to 776 of the family's 1533-position model. The record is from RNAcentral.